UACACACCGCCCGUCACACCAUGGGAUUUGGUUUGACCUUAAGCAGGUGCGCUAACCCGCAAGGGAGGCAGCCUACCACGGUCGGGUCAGAGACUGGGGUG
This 101-nucleotide ribosomal RNA is filed under the name uncultured bacterium. RNAcentral's name for it is "partial 16S ribosomal RNA". It matches the Rfam family "Bacterial small subunit ribosomal RNA", at positions 1384 to 1482 of the family's 1533-position model. The record is from RNAcentral.